UUAGAAGGAAUAGAGGUCUCGACUUGUUAUCUAAGAUAGGUUGAAAGGAGUGGUGAAUCGUGGCAAUAACGCUUGUUUAUUGAUGGAUAUAUGGGCAUCACCGAGGCCAAUGAAAUGAUAAGAUAUUCAACAAGAAGUCAUGUUCGUUAGACAAGCUGAUAGAAGAUAUCAAGGUGUCAUCACUCCUAUGGUUAAAGCACAACGCAAAAAUGUCAUCCAUGUGUUGGUAUGUUCAUUUAAACUUGACAAAUUUCUUGUAUCAUCCAUGUGGUUAUAUUAAUGGCUUCUAGCUAUUGGCUAGCGGUUCUUCUAAUGUUUAAGAUAUAACUACUCUUUCAACGUUAAAAAUAUUAGUUAUUGUAGCCAUACAUUGUUAAAAUGUACAUGGUUAUGCAUUUGUAUCCUAUAUGGCUGGGAUCGAUAAUUAGACCAUAAACACUAUGGUUAUCAACUAUUCUUAUAAUAUACAUAUAUGGGCGAGUUCAUUAAAGACCAACAAUACAUUGAGAAUCAUAUAAUUCACUUGUAUGCAUACAAUAUAAUCAAAAGUAGAGAAAGAUAGUAAGACAUACACACAAAAGCAAAUACAUAACUAUUUUGUGGAUCAUAUUAAAAAAGAAAGAACUUUUGAUCCGUGAUAGUUGGAAAAAUAUCUGUACUAUGUUCGUUUAAAAAAUGAUAUUCCAAAAAAAAAAAAAAAAAGUUGUAACAAUCCAGCUGGAAAACCCUCUUUGGACAAUAAUUCACACCAAGGACAAACCCUAAUUACAUUCAGACCCACUAUAUUCAUCACUAUCCACUUUGGGUCCUUAUAUUUUAGCUAUUGAAGUGUCUUUUACUCUUCUUAUAUGAACUAGAAUUGAGACCCGCCGCAAUGCGGCGAGGAUUCUUUAGUUGUAACUAAGUCGAUUUAGGACCCGCACAUUAUGUUAAAUCUAUCAAACGAGAAAAAACAGAUGAUGUAAAAACGUUCACCCACACACACACGUUGCGUCGUGUUAACUCGCAAAAUUUAGAACGAAACGUAAAAACGUUAAACUAAAGACGCACGUUGCGAUGUGUUAAGUCACAAAAUUUAGAACCAAGCAUAAAACGGAAAAUAUGGGGAAAAUGAAAACUAUAAAGGACCAAAAUUGAAACUAAAAAAUGUUGCGAGUAUAGCUUGCAAAAGAUAAAAAGUUUUGGGUUAAAACUAAAAAAAACAAAUAGUUUUAGGUUAAAAGCAAUUUAUGAAAUACUUUUUGGUAAAAAGUAAAAAAAAAUCAAUUUUCUUUUGGAAAACCCUCAAAGCCAAGGUCACGACAACCAUAUGCAUAACCAUUUUUUUCUUUAGAAAACCCUCAAAGCACACCCCGCGUUGCGGCGGGGCGUAAAACGGUGUAAAAUAGUACUAAUGUCACAAAACCGUCAUUGACCGCCAACACUGACUCGACCUAGGAUCUGCGUGUUGCGACGAAACUGUCAAACAUGAAAAAAUAGAGGUAAAAACGUUGAAUCACACAUGCACGUUGCGCCGUGUUAACUUGCAAAACUUGAAACAAAACAUAUAAAAGUUGAAACACACUCAUACGUUGCAUUGUAUUAAGUCGAAAAAUUUAGAACUAUACGUAAAACGAAAAUUUGCCAAAGAUAAAAAGUAUAAUUGACAAAAGUUGUGAAGUUAAAUUACAAAUAAUAAAAAGUUCGGGUUAAAAUUAAAAAAAAAAACAAAUUAUGUAGGGUUAAAAUUGCAAAGGCUAAAAACCUUUGGGUUAAAAGUAAAAAAUCAAGUUUAGUUUUGGGUUAAAGUU
This 1790-nucleotide long non-coding RNA is filed under the name Helianthus annuus (common sunflower). RNAcentral's name for it is "hypothetical non coding rna". Lineage: Eukaryota; Viridiplantae; Streptophyta; Magnoliopsida; Asterales; Asteraceae. The record is from RNAcentral.